UCCGGUGACCAUGGCGGAGGGGAAACACCCGUUACCAUUCCGAAUACGGCAGUUAAGCCCUCCUGCGCCGAUGGUACUGCCCCCUAAGGGGUGGGAGAGUAGGUCGUUGCCGGGA
Molecule: ribosomal RNA, 115 nt
Filed under: Deltaproteobacteria bacterium RBG_13_52_11
Lineage: Bacteria; Deltaproteobacteria
Source: RNAcentral